RNAcentral lists this ribosomal RNA (274 nucleotides) under uncultured bacterium. RNAcentral's name for it is "partial 16S ribosomal RNA". It matches the Rfam family "Bacterial small subunit ribosomal RNA", at positions 523 to 796 of the family's 1533-position model. The record is from RNAcentral.
AUACGGAGGGAGCGAGCGUUAAUCGGAAUUACUGGGCGUAAAGCGCGCGUAGGCGGCUUUGUAAGUCGGAUGUGAAAGCCCUGGGCUCAACCUGGGAAUGGCAUUCGAUACUGCAGAGCUAGAGUAUGGUAGAGGGAAGUGGAAUUUCCGGUGUAGCGGUGAAAUGCGUAGAUAUCGGAAGGAACACCAGUGGCGAAGGCGACUUCCUGGGCCAAUACUGACGCUGAGGUGCGAAAGCGUGGGGAGCAAACAGGAUUAGAAACCCUGGUAGUCC